This 1387-nucleotide long non-coding RNA is filed under the name Arabidopsis lyrata. RNAcentral describes it as "long non-coding RNA (ALYR_LNC000839)". The record is from RNAcentral. Lineage: Eukaryota; Viridiplantae; Streptophyta; Magnoliopsida; Brassicales; Brassicaceae.
UCAAUUUUAGUAUAGUAUUUUCCAGUAUACAUACAUACAUUGAUACAUACAUAUAAAUUCUUGAUAUAAAUAUGUAUAAGUUGGUAUUUGGUGAGCUUUUAAUGGUAAAAUUAAAUUUAAACUUCUCUAUAUUGGGAAAGAAAAAAAACCAAAAAGAAGAGAAUAAUAUCAUGGGGAUGAAGAUAGGGAUUGUGAGAGCCACUGCCUUCACAAAUCUCGGCAAUAAGUAACGUAUGUCAUCACUCCAUUAUAUAACACCUAACUCCAAACGGUAUCCGUAUACUUAGGUGUAUUAAUAUGGUACAUAUAUAGAUAUUGGACCGUCACAAAAUAUAUAUAUAUAUAUAUGGAGUAUAUAUAUAUUGGACCACGCAACUAAAUAAAUAUGCACGAUUAUGUGUUUUUAUGUUUUUCCCAAAUAAUACACUAAAUAAAAUUAUAUUGAACUUAUAUGUUAGAUAAUCAUAUCUAAUCUUUCAUAUGGGAUUUAGAAUGAUAUUUUAACAUUUUUCCACAAGUUAAAGACAGUUGUCAUAAUCAAAGAAAUACUAUGUAUUAUAAGACAUACUUCACUAUUCAUAAUCUCACCAGAUUAGCAUGCGUCAAACUAUGUGGACAUAUUUUUGUUGUUUUGAAGCGAGAAUGGUUUGUACACGACUAAUUGGACUAAUACAAGUAGUUUGCAUAUAACCGAGUUCCAUUUAAGUUACAAUGCAACAUUGCAGAAACGACGACAUUCAGAUAAUUUUAGGUGACGUUUUUGUAACACAAAUUUUUAAUGGACGGAUGGAAAACCCAUUUAAGUGAGUGACUAUAUAUAAAUGUCCUAAGUCUCAAAAAGUGUAGCCGUAAUUUCUCAUAAUGAAGUUGGAAACUAAGAGAAGUACCAAAACAAGACAACAGACCAACAAUGAAAAUGGUGGUUGUUCUCCAUUCAAUCUAAGCUCUCUCAAACAUGCGAUCGAGGCCAGAGAUGCUGCGAAGGAUAGUUCAAUCAAUCUAUCGUCGCUCUGAUAACCCAAAUGAUAUUUUCUUUUUUAUUUUGUGUUGCAAAAAUUUGAUAUAUAUUUUAAUGCAUGUGAGUGAUGUAAGGGUAUAAUACACUAAUGAACAUAAGCGUGUCCAGAGGUAGUAUUGAAAAUGUGGUCCAUACAAUUAUGUUUGUGAACAUGGUGGCAAGAACGGCCAUAUACAUGACCUCGUCUGACAAAACAAAGUUUACCAUGAAUUGUUGGUAAGGUUAGAUCUAGAGUCUGAGUUUUAGUUAUUUCAUGUUUGAAAUAAUGGAUAAUAUAUGUAUUAUCUCAAAAAAUACAUAUAUUAUCCAUUAUUGCAAACAUUAAUAUAGGGAGAACACAAUAGUACCAUACAGUUUAAGAUUACAACC